This 253-nucleotide ribosomal RNA is filed under the name uncultured bacterium. RNAcentral describes it as "partial 16S ribosomal RNA". It matches the Rfam family "Bacterial small subunit ribosomal RNA", at positions 524 to 776 of the family's 1533-position model. The record is from RNAcentral.
UACGAGGGGGGCAAGCGUUGUUCGGAAUUACUGGGCGUAAAGCGCACGCAGGCGGUCUAUCAAGUCAGAGGUGAAAUCCCGGAGCUUAACUUCGGAAUUGCCUUUGAAACUGUUAGACUAGAGUACGGUAGAGGGUGGUGGAAUUCCUAGUGUAGAGGUGAAAUUCGUAGAUAUUAGGAGGAACACCAGUGGCGAAGGCGGCCACCUGGACCGUUACUGACGCUCAUGUGCGAAAGCGUGGGGAGCAAACAGG